Molecule: transfer RNA, 76 nt
Filed under: Coriobacteriia bacterium
Lineage: Bacteria; Bacillati; Actinomycetota; Coriobacteriia
Also listed under: 1 other name
Description: tRNA-Asn
Rfam family: tRNA
About the family: Transfer RNA (tRNA) molecules are approximately 80 nucleotides in length. Their secondary structure includes four short double-helical elements and three loops (D, anti-codon, and T loops).
Source: RNAcentral
UCCUCGGUAGCUCAAUUGGCAGAGCGUCCGGCUGUUAACCGGAAUGUUGUAGGUUCGAGUCCUACCCGAGGAGCCA